GACUACUGGGGUAUCUAAUCCUGUUUGCUCCCCACACUUUCGCACCUCAGCGUCAAUACCUGUCCAGGUGGCCGCCUUCGCCACCGGUGUUCCUCCUGAUAUCUACGGAUUUCACUCCUACACCAGGAAUUCCGCCACCCUCUCCAGGAUUCAAGCUUUGCAGUUUCAAAGGCAGUUCCACGGUUGAGCCGUGGGAUUUCACCCCUGACUUACGAAGCCGCCUACGUGCGCUUUACGCCCAGUAAUUCCGAAUAACGCUUGCACCCUCCGUAUUACCGCGGCUGCUGGCACGGAGUUAGCCGGUGCUUCCUCUAAAGGUACCGUCAAAACAAAGGCCUAUUAGACCAAUGCCCGUUCUUCCCUUCCGACAGAGGUUUACGACCCGAAAGCCUUCAUCCCUCACACGGCGUUGCUGCGUCAGGCUUUCGCCCAUUGCGCAAUAUUCCCCACUGCAGCCCCCCGUAGG
RNAcentral lists this ribosomal RNA (466 nucleotides) under uncultured Desulfomicrobium sp. RNAcentral describes it as "partial 16S ribosomal RNA". Lineage: Bacteria; Pseudomonadati; Thermodesulfobacteriota; Desulfovibrionia; Desulfovibrionales; Desulfomicrobiaceae. The record is from RNAcentral.